Molecule: ribosomal RNA, 461 nt
Filed under: uncultured bacterium
Lineage: Bacteria
Description: partial 16S ribosomal RNA
Rfam family: Bacterial small subunit ribosomal RNA
Source: RNAcentral
CCUACGGGUGGCAGCAGUGAGGAAUAUUGGUCAAUGGGCGAGAGCCUGAACCAGCCAAGUCGCGUGAAUGAUGACGGCCCUACGUGUUGUAAACUUCUUUUGUCAGGGAGCAAUUGAGUCCACGUGUGUGCUUAGCGCGAGUACCUGAAGAAAAAGCAUCCGCUAACUUCCUGCCAGCAGCCGCGGUAAUACGGAGGGUUCAAGCGUUACUCGGAAUCACUGGGCGUAAAGGUCGCGUAUGCGGGAUAGCAAGUCAGAUGUGAAAUCCUAUGGCUUAACCAUAGAAUUGCAUUUGAAACUGGUAUUCUAGAGUAUGGGAGAGGUAAGUGGAAUUCUUGGUGUAGGGGUAAAAUCCGUAGAGAUCAAGAGGAAUACUCAUUGCGAAGGCGACCUGCUAGAACAUAACUGACGCUGAUGCGCGAAAGCGUGGGGAGCAAACAGGAUUAGAUACCCCAGUAGUC